AUGACAAGAGACACUGCUACGCCUACUUACCGUUCUCAGCUGGACCAAGUUCUGCAGUGCAGUGUUACCGGCUACAGUCACCCAGUUUUACAUCCGAACCUCAGAGGAGAGACGGUCCUCUGGGCACCUCCAAGUGCCACCUUGUUUAGGGAGGGCAUCACCUGGAGCCCCCCAGCUCACAGUCUUGCAGGGAGCCCUUCAGUCCAGCGUCCAAAUGUUGGUAAGUCACGUAGUGUGAAAAUGCUGCCAGCGAAGUCAGACUUGUUGUUCUAGGAGCUUAUGAAAGAGUCAGAAGGAGCAUUCCUUGUUCAAGUAUCUCUUUCUUUCCCUUGGCGUCUGCAGGAACUGCGUGGGGCAGCAGUUUGCGAUGGCUGAGUUAAAGGCGGCCGUCGCCUUGAUUCUGCUCCGCUUCUCACUGACGGCAGAACCCACCAGGCCUCUCGUCUCCAGGCCCAAUAUUUUCCUCAAACCCAAGAACGGGCUCUACUUGCACCUGAAGAAACUCGCCUAAUGUCAGCCCAGAGUACGAUGAGUACAUACAUUUUAUUUUAAAGGCAGGUUGUAGCUGAUGGUUCAAGACAAGGGAGGAGAAUGCAAGCGUGGGGGUGGGGUUAAGAGAAGAAGGGCUGAGGGCCCCUGUAGAGCUGCCCAUUGUUCAAAGCAUGUCUGUGUGACCUAAGGUAGCACCUAGAUCUCUUUCCGUAGGACCGACCAGAUUUUCAGAUCACUUCUGUUUGAUUCUGGCUAUUACUCUUGCCACAUAUCAAGCAAGAGUUUUGCUAGAUGGCUUCCAUAUAAUUGCGAUUGUUUUCAACUUUUUUUCAGAAUGACACAGGUCAUAGGUGAAUGUAUGCUCACUGUAAAAGGUUUACAACACUCGAAAAGCGGGUGGAGUUACAAGUAACCUAGGCCACACCUCCCUGCCCAAUCUACUGCUUUUCCUGAAGACGGACUAGUUUGGCGUGCACUCUUUCAGCUUUUCCCUGUACAGUUCCGAUGUGCAUGUGUAUGUGUGUGCUCUUGUCUAUGGGAUCACAUCCAUAUUGUUCCUGCUUUUUCUCACUUAAUAAAAACGCAUCUCAGUCCUAGUCA
This 1092-nucleotide long non-coding RNA is filed under the name Sus scrofa (pig). RNAcentral describes it as "lncRNA (ENSSSCG00060008138.1)". Lineage: Eukaryota; Metazoa; Chordata; Mammalia; Artiodactyla; Suidae. The record is from RNAcentral.